CUCCUCCAAGCCGACGUCUUUGAGCUCAUCAAAGAAGUCUCCCUCAAGGACCGCGAGCUCAGGAUUGUGGACGAGGUCGGUGCCAAGAUCCGAGUCUUAGACUUCAUUUCUCCCGAUGUCCAGGAGCGAACGCGAUGGUCUUGAAGUUGUUAGAAAUCCAAAGAGGCCUAUCGGCGCUUGGAUACAUUACUAUAACGAUCAAUUAGCCAUGAUGAAAGAGAAGGAUAAAGGAGU
Molecule: long non-coding RNA, 234 nt
Organism: Vitis riparia (riverbank grape)
Lineage: Eukaryota; Viridiplantae; Streptophyta; Magnoliopsida; Vitales; Vitaceae
Exons: 3
Source: RefSeq, a predicted model, not a curated record